RNAcentral lists this ribosomal RNA (3266 nucleotides) under Ambystoma mexicanum (axolotl). RNAcentral describes it as "eukaryotic LSU rRNA". It matches the Rfam family "Eukaryotic large subunit ribosomal RNA". Lineage: Eukaryota; Metazoa; Chordata; Amphibia; Caudata; Ambystomatidae. The record is from RNAcentral.
CUACAGCCUCAGAUUAUUUGUGGUGACCCACUGAAUGUAAGGAUCUCACUAAUUGGAGGUAAAGAAACUAACCAGAAUUCCCCCAGUAACAGCGAGUGAAGAGCCCAGCGCUGAAUCCGCAUUAAGCGUGGGUGCAGGAAAUGCAGCGUACAGAAGACCGUCUCCCCAGCAUCAGUCAUGAUGCCCAAGUCCUUAUGUUCACGACCCAACAAGUGGAUAGUGUUAGGCUGUUAGCGGCCACCAGCAUGCGGGAUCGGGUUUUCGCUGAGUUGGGUGCUUCGAAUUACAAUCCCAAUGUGGGUGGUGGACUCCAUCAAGGCUUAGAAUGUGCGGGAGACUGAUAGCCAACAAGUACCAUAAAGGAAAAUUGAACAGUACUUUGAAGAGAGAUUUCAAGAUGGCGUGAAACCAUCAAGAGGAAAACGGAUGGGGAAUCAACCAGGUGGGCAGGUUGGCCACCUGAAACAGCAGAUCCCCUUGCGGGGCCACCACCCGGGCAUAUGCAGCCCCUGCAGGGUGCAUUUCCUCCAUGGCAUAGCACAGCGAUUGGCUCCAGGUCGGCUGGGAAUGCCCCAGGGUGCAGGUAGCUCUCAGCUCAGGUGGAGAACGUUUGAGCCUCCUGGCUACAGUUUCACCAUGUCCAUGGGGCUGAGGAACAUUGACCACCAACUCAUCCUCCUCCAGCAACCAUCCUAACCCCUCUAGGGAGUCAAUGGGGCAGAGACAGGGUACUGGCCCCCUGCUCCCUAUGUGAUUGUCGACUGAAGUGGACUGUCAACAGCGUACCCUGACCAUGCUGCACCACUGGGCAGGGAGGGCCACAAAGUGUGCUAGGGGACUGCAGUGAUGUUGGUUAACCACCUGACCCAUCUUGUAACACACACCAAGGAGUCUAUCACAUGCACGAGUCAGAGAGCGAAACAAAACCCUGUGGCACAAUGAAGGUGAGGGACAUUGCACGCUGGCUGAGGUGGGAUCAUGUUGUGCCAUGCACACCACCGGCAUCUCCCGGUGUGUGAUAGGACCUAAAAGAUGGUGAACUAUGCCUGGGCAGGGCAAAGCCAGAGAAGACUCUGGUGGAGGUGAGUAGUGGUCCUAUUAUGCAAAUCGGUCAUCCAAACUGUGUGUAGGUGCAGAAGACUAAUCAAACCAUCUAGAAAAGCUGUUGGUUGAUAUAGGCUGCACAACGGUGGCCAUGGAAGUCAGAAUCUGCUAAGGAGUGUGUAACAACUCGCCUGCUAAAUCAAUUAGCCCUUACAAUGCAUGGCACUGGAGCAUAAGGUCAUGCCCAGCCUUUGUCGCCACUGAGAGCUGCAGGGCCUAAACUGUGACAAGUAUGAGGACUGAUGCAGUGUGCAUGGUAGCCCGAGGCAAAUGCCCGGGUGGAGCUGCCACAGUUGUGGACCUUGGUGGCAGUAGCAACUGUUCGAACUUUGAUGGCUGUAGUGGAGGAUGGUACCAUGUGAACAGCUAUUGAACAACUGGUCAGUCAUUGCUAAGAGAUGGGCAAUCAUCAUUUCGAAGGGACAGGCAAUGACCUGCAUUGGCCUCAGGCAAUCAAAAGGGAGUCAGGUUCAGAUCCCCAAACACUGAGUGGCAUAGACGGGACCCUUGUGGCAUCCAUUCUGGUAACACAAAGGUUCCUGGAGAAUCCAGCAUGCACCCUGGGGGAGAUCUAUUUUCUUUGUGAAGGGCAGGGCACCUUGGAAUGGGUUUGCCCCAAGAGGAGCAUGGGCCUUGGAAAGUAAUGUGGUUCAUGCAGCGUAUGGUGAGUUCCCGCAGGGAGAUGGUGUAAAUCUUGCACAGGCCCGUAUCCAUAUCCGCAGCAGGCCCUAAGGUGAACCACCUCUGGCAUGUUGAAACAAUGUAGGUAAGGAAAAUCAACAAGUCAGAUCUGUAACUUCAGGAUGAGAAUGUGCUGUAAUGGCUGAGUGGGUCAGGCUGGUGCAUGUAGCAGGGCUGGCCAUGCACCAUGACUAGACAAAGCAUCUCCACCCCCAGGGGCACAGCAACACUAGACGCGAGCCGAGCCAAUCCUGUGGAUUGCUUCAGCUGGGGUGUUGGCCUCUCAUUUCCCCUCCCAAGAUUCAGGGCUUGCGCUCCACCUCAGUCAACACCUAGCAGCUGACUUAGAACUGGUGCGGACCGGGCAAUCUGACGGCUUAAUUGAAACAAGGCAUUAAAAAAACCAGUGUUUUUGUGUUGACACAAUAUGAUUUCUGCCCAGUGCUCUGAAUAUCAAAGUGAAGAAACACAUUGAAGGGUGGAUUAUUGGUGGGAGAAACUAUUACUCUUUUAAUGUGUCCAAAAGCUACGUCAUCUCAUUUGUGACAUGCAUGAAUGGAUGAACAGGAUUUCCACUGUCCCUACCUACUACCUAGUGAACCACAGCCAAGGGAACCACAGCCAAGGGAACAUGAUGGGUUUAAUUAGUGGGGAUAGGAGACCCUGUUGAGCUUGACCCUAGUCUGACACUGUGAGGAGACACAAGAUGUGUAGGAUAGGUGAGAGGGACUACUAUUAUAAUGUUUUCACUUGCCAGGCUCAGGGAGGACAGAAACACCCCACAAAGGCGAAGGGCAAAAUAUUGCUGGGUCUCAAAUUUACAUAUGAAGACAGACCGUGUAAGCGUGGCUUUAUGAUCCUUCUGACUUUUUGUGUUUCCAGAAGAAGGUGUCAGAAAAUGACCACAGGGAUAUCUGUCUUGUGGCGGCAAGGCAUUCACAGCAACUUUGCAUUUUGAUCCUUCCAUGUCAGAUCCUCCCAUCAUUGUGAGGCAGAAUUCUGCAAACUUUAGAUUGUUUACCCACUAAUGCGGAAUGUGAGCUGGGUUAAGACCGCAAUGUGAGGGGUUAGUUGGACCCUACUGAUGAUGUGUUGUUACAAUAAUCAUCCUGCUCAGUAUGAGAGGAACCGCAUGUUCAGACAUUUGGUGUAUGUGCUUGGCUGAGGAGCCAAUAGGCCGAACCUGCCAUCUGUGGGAUUAUGACUGAAUGCCUCUAAGUCAGAAUCCCCCCUAAACUGUAAUGGCAAUGCAGCAGUGUGGUGCUUCAUUUGGCCUAGGAUAGCCAGCCUCUGGGCCAGUGCAUAGAUCUGCUUGCUUCUGGACUGCAGUGUGGAUAGAAAGGAUCAACCUCUCUCACACCUAGUGCACCACAUGUUCGUAGGGAAUGUGGUGCAUAAUCAUUUGUAGAUGACCUGAUUCUGGGUCCAGGUUUCAUAAGUAGCAGAGCAGUUACCUUGCUGCAAUCUAUUGGAAGUCAUCU